AGCUAGUGCAGCACACAAAUGUGACAAAACCAGAGGGAAUUCCUCAGGAAGAAGGAAAUCUAUCCCAUAUUGAAAGCUGAAAUGCAAGAAAGGAUGAGGGGCAACAGAAAGAAUAUAGAUGCUUUCAAAAACAGAAAAGAUAAUAUUCUCAAGCAACUCCUAGAGAACACCAUCAUCCCUAUUAACACUUCCCCACUGUACCGUAAAAUACUUGUUUUCUUAACUAUAUCUCCCACUGGGCUCCUGGAGGACGUGAUCAUCAUUGUUCCCCAAGUGCCUCUCAUAUAUUUGGUGGUCUAUAAAUAUGAAAUAACAAAUGAAUGAUGGUGCUAUGAAUUCAACCACACCCACACUUCUUUUCACCAUCUGAGAGAAACAGAAGGAUCCAAAUCUUGGUAAUCUAAAUGCAUGCCUCCAAUACAAAGAUCUUUAAUAAUCACCAGGCCUGAACCACUUCUUAGCAAUUGGCCAGGCUGCAAGGAGCCGUAUCAACUCCUUACUAGGACAGCUUAAGCCCCUGAAGAAAUUAUCUCAUGCACUAAGGAAUGACCUGACAUAAAAGCCUACUUGAAAAUAAGCUGAUGCCUGCCCAGAGGGAAUAAUUUAAAAUAACUUUCAAGAGGUGGGAGAAUCAUAUACUCAUUCCAUAUUCAUCAGGUGUCUUCUACGUGCCCAAGAAUCAAUCCAAUCCAACUGAUAACAUUUUCUCUGAAGAUAGCUGCCUCUUCAAAUACUGGUACAGAGAUUCAAGAAGCUGUACCACAGACCAUCAGUUCUGCUAGUACAUGUAUUUCUUUGACAGGAAUGACCUCAGGUGUGAUUCGUAAAUAGAGGAAUGACGUCUGUGUGGGUUCAUAUGCAGUUUUUCCUAGCUUGUUUAUACUUUGCAGCAAUCAAGGUAAGCACUCUCACAGGGAAAGAGAAAGACUUAACAAUGUGUGAAGACCUCAGAACAAAGCUGGAAAUGCACUCAAGUGCCUUUCUUUAACAUGAAUAGUGGCUGAUUUUCUAGCUUCAAGAACCACUAUGCUUUCCACUAUGUUGACCUCAUGGCAAAACUGCAAGAACAGCUAUGAAAACAUUUCUCCUUAUACAGAUAAACGAAGAAGGCUACACCCUGGAUCAGACUUAAUUUCAAUAAAAUCGUCUCUCUUAGAAGCAAAUGCCCUGUGCAAUCCACAGAGACAAGAGGGAAGCAAAGCUCAAUGUGGACACGGCAAAGGCUAGACCAACUUGCAAAAAAAGUUCCACAGCUCUUUAGCGGUCUGCCUCAAUCCUGUUUUUCCCAUAAACUCUGUUAUUCUUAGUGGUGCGUGAUUUUGCAGAAUGCCAGGUGCAGAUAGAGUCAGCCCUCCAUAUCCAUGGGUUCCACAUCUGUGGAUUCAACCAACCACAAACCGAAAAGAUCCAAAAAAAAAUGGAUAGUUGUGGACACUUCCCUACAGAGAGAGAACUGAGCCACCCCUACACACGGUUUUACCACCACCAAGAGGCCAUGAGCUUGGGAAAGAAAAAGACAAUAGAGGGUAACACUCAACAGAAGGACAACGAAGGUCACACAAGGGUACUUUAUAUACUUAAACCAGUCUUCUGCUCACUGAUUCAGUCAACAAGUAAUUGAACGUACAAGCAGGUAGAAACCCAGAGAGAGACAAGAAAACUGAGAGCCUAUCCCACUGAUUAUUUCUUCCUGACACCCAAACAUCUUAGCAAAAGAUUGACUAGAAUCAGGUUGCAAACUCUAAAGUCUACUGGAGCCCAGUGAAUGAUUUAAGAAGAAUGGGUGCCUGGUAAUAGGGAGCAAGGGGACAGGGACAAGCUAGAGAUCAUAUGCUCCAUCUAAAAGUGUUCAAAUCGUUUUUCUUAUCUACCAUUGAGCCAAGUCAAAAUGCGUAUGCAGCCUAGACCUGGCUCACAGGCUGCCACUCCAUGGCCCCUAUGUUUAGCCGAAUAUAGACCAGGGCAUCUGGCUAAGAAAUUUCACUUUCGAUCCAGACAGAUACCUGACUCUAAGACAUAACCCAAAAUUUAAAAUCACCUUCCUAUAAGUGAUGGCUACAAUGCACCAGAAGAUGAUGAGAACUCCACUACAGGAGAAACAAACCAGAACUAUCUAUCAAGAUCCAAGAUUUUGGAACCUGAGCUUGAUUUCUUAUUUCUUCACUAUGAUUGAAGAGUGCUAUUACAUAAACAAAGUUUUCGUUUUCUGGUGUCUUUAAAAAUCAGCACCUAUUCCUAACAACUGCUUUAUGGAGGUUCACUCUUUACAACUUAAUUGUCUGAAAUGCCAAAGAAAAGAUGAAGAAUCUCUACAAUCCAAAUCACACUUCACCAUAAAGGCUCAAAGAUAAUGUCAGCAGACACACAGGUGAAAUAUAUCAAUUACAAACGUAAGAACUCUUGGCCCACUAAAAACGUGGUUUCUUGAGUAGAGAUUGCGAGAAGCCAUUUUAUGUACACUUUAGUAUAAUAUUUAAUGAAAGUAAUAAACAGGUCUCAUAAUUUAGAAUGAAAUCUGUUUUCUUUUUUUCCUUUCAAGGCCAGUCAACAUACACUGGAUAUUCCAAUAUUUUUCUUAAAUCAAUAUGCUACUUUUUACCCACAUAACAACUUUACAGUCAGAAAUAUAUAUGCUAAUGUACACUUAGCACUUCUUAAUUGUUCUUAAAGCUAAAUUUGAACAAUAAAUUAAAUUUCUCAGUAUAUGUUAUGUAAUGUAGACACAGGCUAUAAAAAUGUUGACAUUCGUUAUAUUCUCGUAAUGCAAUUUAGCCCUUUUAGUAAUGACUAUGCAAAUAAUCAGCCAUGGGAAAGCCAUUUUCCAUCUAGUACAAUUACCUACUAUCACAGAAGUAAUUAUUAUUAUUGUCCUCCUUAACUGAAAUUCUAUAAAAACUCUUGAGAUACUAAGAUAGUUCCAAGGCCACCGUGAAAACUCUCCUCUUAACAGACUAAUCUGGCAACGACAAUUACCAGCGUUAAGGAGGGCAGUUGCAGAUGAACAUUAAACAAGAAAUUAUCCCCAGAAGGUUCAUAAGUUCUAAACUUUAAAUGGGGAAAUACUGAUGACUCCUAGUACAUCCUCUUAACACCUUCAAGACACAACUUUUCACUCAGGCAAGGUCAACAGCUCUAAGCUGACUCAACCUCAAUUCGUAGAAAACCAUGAUUCCAACCAGAUCACUUUCACCCCUAAACAAUAUCUACUUUUAGCCAAUGUCCCCACAGUACUGGUUACACAUAAGGAAACUCAAUCAAACCUUCUAUUUUACUGUGCUUCAAUUUUCAAUUUCAGAAAUUGUUCCACCAUCUUGAAACAGACCAAGGCGCUUGGGUGAUCCAUUGGCCACAUUUGCCGAAGUUCUUCACAAGAUCUCUAUCCAACUUCACCUUGUCUCUUAGCAUAGAGAUGAGGACGGCCACAGGGUAGUGAAGAGGGCAACAUACACCAUUCUUUCAAGGAGCUCUAAGGUCUCCCACCCACCCCACCUGAACCUGCUGGCCGGCAGUCCAGGCCUGGGCCUCACCAACUCCAGAAUCAUUCACAAGAACAUGGUCACACAGGAGACCUGUGCUCCUUUCUCCAUUCUUCUUCUCUAACGCCAGUCAGCAAACCCACCACCUGAAAAAGCUUCAACUGCCCACGAGGGCCUAGAGGAAAGAGCUUCUUAGGAAUCACCCCCUGCAGUCUGUCGUGGGUGGAUCACCCUACAAUGUCUUAUGCAAAAGGCUAAUUCUACCCCUUCUGGGUGCUUAUCUCAAUGGAGCCCCAAAGCCUUAAGAACCAGAUGGCGUUAACCAAUUUAUG
Molecule: long non-coding RNA, 3808 nt
Filed under: Homo sapiens (human)
Lineage: Eukaryota; Metazoa; Chordata; Mammalia; Primates; Hominidae
Description: HSALNT0387211
Source: RNAcentral